This 111-nucleotide small nuclear RNA is filed under the name Amborella trichopoda. The record is from RNAcentral. Lineage: Eukaryota; Viridiplantae; Streptophyta; Magnoliopsida; Amborellales; Amborellaceae.
GUAAUCUCUUAAAAGACAUUUGAUAAGAUUGGAAUGAUAAAGAGUAGAUCAACAUGGCCCUUGCACAAGUAUGGCACACCCUACUAGUAGCAGUAGCAGCAACUGUAUUUU